This 104-nucleotide small RNA is filed under the name Homo sapiens (human). RNAcentral describes it as "circular RNA". The record is from RNAcentral. Lineage: Eukaryota; Metazoa; Chordata; Mammalia; Primates; Hominidae.
UUGCAGAAACCGACACAGUCAAUCAGUCAGGAGAAUACAAAUUCAGUGCCAGGUGGACCAAAGUCAUGGGCACAGCUGAAUGGAAAGCCAGUAGGACACGAAGG